GGCGGUGUGCUUAAUACAUGCAAGUCGAACGAGACUUUCGGGUCUAGUGGCGGACGGCUGAGUAACGCGUAGGUAACGUACCUCUUACUGGGGGAUAACAUCGGGAAACCGGUGCUAAUACCGCAUAAGUCGUGUCUUGAAAUAGAUACGAUUAAAGAUUUAUCGGUAAGAGAUUGGCCUGCGUCUGAUUAGCUAGUUGGUAGGGUAAUGGCCUACCAAGGCGAUGAUCAGUAGUUGGUCUGAGAGGAUGACCAGCCAGAGUGGGACUGAGAACGGCCCACACUUCUACGGAAGGCAGCAGUAGGGAAUUUUGCGCAAUGGGCGAAAGCCUGACGCAGCAACACCGCGUGCGGGAUGAAGGCCUUUGGGUUGUAAACCGCUGUCAGCAGGGAAUAAAUUGACUGUACCUGCAAAGGAAGCACCGGCUAACUACGUGCCAGCAGCCGCGGUAAGAC
Molecule: ribosomal RNA, 455 nt
Filed under: uncultured bacterium
Lineage: Bacteria
Description: bacterial SSU rRNA
Rfam family: Bacterial small subunit ribosomal RNA
Source: RNAcentral